GGGCCCGCACAAGCGGUGGAGCAUGUGGCUUAAUUCGAGGCAACGCGAAGAACCUUACCUGGUCUUGACAUGCCCGUCAUAGUUUUCCGAAAGGAAUUCGUCAGUUCGGCUGGACGGUGCACAGGUGCUGCAUGGCUGUCGUCAGCUCGUGUCGUGAGAUGUUCGGUUAAGUCCGGCAACGAGCGCAACCCUCGUUUCCAGUUGCCAGCGGGUAAUGCCGGGGACUCUGGAAAGACAAACCUCUUGUUGAGGUGGGAAGGUGGGGACGACGUCAAGUCAGUAUGGCCCUUACGACCAGGGCUGCACACGUGCUACAAUGCCCGGCACAAUGGGAUGCAAUAUCGCGAGAUUGAGCAAAUCCACAAAACCGGGCCCAGUUCGGAUUGGAGUCUGCAACUCGACUCCAUGAAGUUGGAAUCGCUAG
This 424-nucleotide ribosomal RNA is filed under the name uncultured bacterium. RNAcentral describes it as "bacterial SSU rRNA". It matches the Rfam family "Bacterial small subunit ribosomal RNA", at positions 917 to 1338 of the family's 1533-position model. The record is from RNAcentral.